This 426-nucleotide ribosomal RNA is filed under the name Rhodotorula sp. Rup4A. Its description in RNAcentral is "eukaryotic LSU rRNA". It matches the Rfam family "Eukaryotic large subunit ribosomal RNA", at positions 84 to 522 of the family's 3401-position model. The record is from RNAcentral. Lineage: Eukaryota; Fungi; Basidiomycota; Microbotryomycetes; Sporidiobolales; Sporidiobolaceae.
UAACGGCGAGUGGAGCGGGAAGAGCUCAAAUUUGUAAUCUGGCACUUUCUGUGUCCGAGUUGUAAUCUCGAGAAGUGUUUUCCGCGCCGGACCGCAUACAAGUCUGUUGGAAUACAGCGUCAUAGUGGUGAGAACCCCGUAACUGAUGCGGAUGCCCGGUGCUUUGUGAUACACUUUCGAAGAGUCGAGUUGUUUGGGAAUGCAGCUCAAAUUGGGUGGUAAAUUCCAUCUAAAGCUAAAUAUUGGCGAGAGACCGAUAGCGAACAAGUACCGUGAGGGAAAGAUGAAAAGCACUUUGGAAAGAGAGUUAACAGUACGUGAAAUUGUUGGAAGGGAAACGCUUGAGGUCAGACUUGCUAUUUGGAAUUCAGCCGCAAGGUGUACUUUUCAAUUCGCAGGCCAGCAUCCAUUUUUGGGGGUGGAAAA